Molecule: long non-coding RNA, 17611 nt
Filed under: Eutrema salsugineum
Lineage: Eukaryota; Viridiplantae; Streptophyta; Magnoliopsida; Brassicales; Brassicaceae
Description: long non-coding RNA (ESAL_LNC001532)
Rfam family: Plant small nucleolar RNA R71 (bases 5284-5390)
Source: RNAcentral
GCGUAAGGGAUUCUUAAGCCUUAACCUCAUGGAUAAAAAAAAAGGAUUUAUGAAUUAUGAUGUCUUACAGUGAAAAUAUUUUAACGCCUUUUUGUUUCUUAAUCUAAUCUAUAAGAUUCUGUUUUUUUUUUCUUUUGUUAGAAAGAGGAUGACUGAUGAAAGAGCUGCGAGAGUCGAAAAGAUUGCCUCAUAUGUAUCGAACAAACUGGAUAAAUUCGCCAUAUAUAUUCAUGAUAAAAGCCUUCUCCUGAAGAAGAAAAGAAAAACGAUUUAUGAAUGUCUUACAGUGUGAAUUUUCAUCAUGAUAUGAUCCUGAUUGUCUUCUUUAGGACAUGUUUUUUUUACUUCUUUCCACCUUCGAUUUGGUUGCUUUGUUAAUCUCUUUAAUUAGUGUUAUGUCAAGUAUGAUGAACUCAUGUUUUGCUCCUCCUAGUGACAAUUGAUUUUAUCUCUUUUUUUUGUUUUUCCUAUUUAGAUAUGAGAGAUUGUAUUGGGAUAUUCAUAUGCUCAAAGUUUAAUUCCUAGAGCUACUCUGCAAGAGCACAGAUGUGCAAUUGUAGUAUAAUAGGGGUAGAACCACAGAGACAAGAGAUUCGCUCAAUAAACCUAUUAGAAAUUGAAUUACGCUAAGCAGAUUAAUGAGAAGCAAAUAGCAAUGCAAAUAAAGAUAAACGAAUGCAGUAAAAACGUUUGUAAAGUUCAGAUGGAUGGAGAUUAGGCUUAGGGCGUUUCUCAUGAAAUCAAUGCAUGCAGAUCAAUCGAUAAAUCAGGGUUCAGGUUUAAGCAUGGUUCUUGAACUCGAAUCACAGAAUUAUAAUUAACCAACUUCCAUUGUGAGAAUUAUCUAAGUUAAAAUCCUAGAAUUCCAAAUUCCUUUGCAAACCCUAAAGAUUUAAACCAGCUUUAAUGCUCAAGUUCGAUAUGUUCACAAAGUAUCUAAACCAAAUUCCUUUGCGAAUAGCUACUUUGCUCACCCUAGGUUCUUUCCAGUUACUCAAUUACACUUCCGUGUCAAUCAAUUAACCUAAGAUUUAAGUUCUAGGUGGCCAGUCCAGAAUUAGCUUUAAGAACAACCUAUGGUGAAGAACUAAAUAGAUUAUGAACCCUAAUUAAUCAAUCAAUCCAACAUCCAAUGAAAUCCUUUAUGAGAACCCUAAACCUAACAAGCAAACUACUCAGACAUGGAGAUUGAAGCAAUAAACAUGAUUGAAUAGCUUGCAGAAAAGAAAUAAUAGAUAAAUAAACAGGGGUUCGAAAUCUUCUCUAUCCCCAAAAGCUCUCAAAAACAAAAGUUCUCUCUCAGAAAAUCUAAGGUAAUCGUAAAAAGGGAAUAAAAACCCUAUAUAUAUCUCUAAGACACGUUUUGGGCUUCCUUGGAAACGUUUAGGCCCAACUCCUUCUUCAAAUAGGAAACAAAAUCGCCUUUUCCUUAUUUUUUGACAAGUGUCGCGCGUCACUCUCCAUGGUGUCGAGCGUCACUAAAGAACAAAAUCCAUUCUUGACGAAUUUGAUCCUGAUUAAGCUCCAAAGUGCUCCAAAGUCUCCAGUUAAGCUCCAAACGUACCUAUGACCUGAAAAGAUCCCAAAAGACUCGAAAGACACUAAAAAGACUCUAUAAAUAAGACAUAUACCAUGGUCAAAAACCAUAAAAACCAUGAUAUAUCAACUCCCCCAGACUUAGCAUUUGCUUGCCCUCAAGCAAACAUAACACCAAACAAGAGAAAGAAGUUUGAAAACACAGAGACUCAACCUUUCAUUGGAACAUCGCCCUUGACCAAUUGCCUGCAACUCAACUACUGCUUCAUCAUUCCAAAUCGAACCACCAUGUACUUCUCCGUAGACAUUCUCAGCAUUCCAGAUUAAGUCCAAAAUUCCACAACAUUGUCCAUAAACUCUCAUCGCUGGAUCUCACUGAUGAUUUAGAUGCCAAGAACCUUCUAGAUUCUUUCCCGUACUAUACUCAAGCAAAUCAUCCAUACACACUUUGGUACUUUUCUCUCCCCCAGACUUAUUCUUUUCGCACACUCAUCAUCAUUUUUUUAUGGCAUAUACUCGAUAAGGGUAAAGCUGCGAGUACUGAUGGUGUUUGCCAUCGAGUCCCCGAGUUGUCCCCUUAUCUUGUAUCAAAGGUUUUCAGCGAAUAGUGGGGUCAUGGGAAACAUUCCUACCCCUCACUUCCUUCCUUUGUGUGAUCAUUCCAACUUAGAAGUGAAAUAAUGGGAUCAUUGGAAACAUUCCUAGCCUUUUUUCUUUCUUUCUUCUUUUUCCUAGCUCGUCACAAGGGAGAGAAAUACCAACAUUAAAUUUUACACAGGCUUUCAUUGAUCAAGUAUGAACGAGGAAUCAAGCUCUGAGGCAUUAGUCACAUCAACGAGUUAAAAGUGAAGUUUAGAACUUAGUUCAGGUUAGUGGAUUCUGUUGGAAACAUGGACGCCUCUAGUCAGCUGGUCAGCCUUUGGAUUUUUCAUUAGUCGGAUCUAGACUGAAUCUGCAGCAGUGGUCACUUAGGUGAAAGGUCAGCACAAUAAUUUCAGGAAAAGCAUCAUGAUCUCCAACAGGUUUUGACUCAAAAACGUUUUGACACAACUGACUCUUAAGAAAAACAAACACAAUGUCAGCAACUACCUCCCCCAGACUUGAAUAACACUGUCCCCAGUGUUAUCGAGUCCGAAGUUGGUGAAACAAAAAAAAGAAACAGAGAAACACAAGAAAAACGAAGAACUUACCUGGCUGCAGUGAUGGUGACGCGCGACACUGAUGAUGGUGUCGUGCGACACUUGUUCUCCUCGUACCGAAUUGCAGCAAACCAAUCUGAAUUUCUGGUUUGACUCCGGUUGCCCGAUUUCCUUUUUUUUUUUUUUUUUUUUUGAUGAAUAGCAAGUGACAGGCGACACCGAAGGUGGUGUCGCUCGACACCAGUCCUGUUUCACCUAAAACACGAAAAAGAAAAACGAAAAUCAACUGAAACAAAAGGCUUAUUUACAGACUCACCAGUGGAUUGCCUUCCACCAAGCGCUUGUUUUAAGUCAUUAGCUUGACUAUGGAUAGACUAUGCAUCUGGUGGAUCAGACAGUGGCAAAGAGUGCCUCUGUGAAAUUCGUCUCAUCCAUGGUGGUGUGUAAGCGUUUUGCGCAUGAGGUCGUCCAAGGAAUGCAGGAAUAACACCAGGGUGAGAUCUGUGUUUGGGUGACCUUGACCUAUUCUUUGGUGGAGAUGAAUAGAACGUGAUGUUGUGAGCUUCCUGUGCAUUAGCAGCUACUGGUUCUGUAGACGUCUUAGUCAACUCAGGUUGAUCUUUCACCUUCUCAGCAUCAAACACGUUCUGAUCUCCCACUAUCACUUCAGGUAUUGCACUGACUUGGAAUGUCUGACCAUCUAUGGUUGAAUCCUUUAGCUUCUCCAUCUUGAAAGACAUGAUGGUAUCUCCUAGGUGGAGAUCAAGGUUACCAUGCUUGACAUCAAUUACUGCUCCAGCUGUAGCUAAAAACGAUCUUCCCAGGAUAAGAGGAUCUUUGGGUUCCUCUUCAUAUUCCAGAACCACGAAAUCUGUAGGAAUUAUGCAAUCACCAACUUUAAUCGGAACAUCCUCCAAGACACCUUUUGGGAUUCUUUUAGAUCGAUCUGCUAGGAUUAGAGAGAUAUUAGUUGGCUUGAAGUCAGUCAUCCCAAGGCUAACAGCUACAUAGUAAGGCAUUAGGUUGACACUCGAACCAAGAUCACACAGCGAUCUCUUGAACCUCUCAGAGAAGAUAGAGCAGUCCAAAACAAAGCUUCCUGGGUCCGAGAGUUUCUCUGGAAUCUUAUUCUGAAUCACAGCACUGACCUGUUCAGAAAUCAUCAUCACUCCUUCCUCAUGACUCAGAUUAUUAGUCACCAUUCUCUUCACAUAGUGUCUGAGAGUAGGAGCAAUCUUCACAGCAUCAACCAAAGGAAUCUCAAUAACAAGUUUCUCCAUCAAAGUCUUGCAUCUGGCAUCAUCUAUCUCCUGCUUGGACUUCCUAGGACUCCUUGGGUAAGGAACCUUAGGUUUGUAAACCUUUUCCUCAGCAGAUUUCGAACUUUGAGCAAUAUCAGCUUUGCUCUGCAAUUGGUGACGCGCGACACUGGUUGUGGUGUCGCUCGACACCGGCUCUGCAGUUUCGAAAUUUUCUUCAGAUUCGUCAAACUCCACGAUUUCAUCCUCAGAAACACCCUUUUUAAGCACUUGAGUCAACUUUUUACCACUCCUUAACGAGAUAGCACUGCAGUAAUGCCUAGGAUUGAUAUCAGUCUUCCCAGUAAGGAAUCCUUCUUGCCUUUUUACAGACUCUGCAGUCUGAGCAACCUGAGUAUCAAGCUUCUUGACAUGAGUGUUCAGAACUUCAAUUUUUCUAUUCAGAUCCAGAUACAGAGCAUCAAUCUUCCCAUUGAAAUCCACAGUCAUCUUCUGCUGACCUUCCAGUAUCUGUUCCAGCAUAGACUUCACCUCAUUAUCAGGAGUUUGAGUAGGAGGAGAACCAUAGUUCCUUGAAAACCUGUUGUUGGAGUAGGAUGUCUGGUACUGAGGUUUGGAGCUGUAACCAGAAGAGUUCUGAUUACCUGUGAAGGUACUCCUCUGAUUAUUUCCAUUGUGAUUCGUGUUCCCUUGCCCAGAACCAAAUCUCUGACCCCGAAAUCCAGCUCCAUUGAUAAAGUUAACAUCCUCUUCCUCAAGUGCUUCAUCUGGUUCGAAAUUCUUAACCUCUGCAGCGUAUCGAACGGACUUCUUACCCACUAGAAGGCUAUGCACAGAGUCAAGCUUAGCCUUCACCUCAGCAAUCUGCGAUCCAUCCAUGUUUCUAGCCUGCUUCCUUCGCUGAUAGUCUGCAUUCUUGGUUCUAGAAUGAUAAAUCGAUUAUGAAUUUAGAACACAAAGUUUAAGAAUAACUCUCUUAUUGCUUUAGAAAACUGACUCAAAAACUAAAGCUCUCAAACUCUGAUAAGUGAAACCACAACUUUGGUAACUCCUUAUAUAGAGAAAGAUUUAGACAACUUCCUAAACCUAAUGGAAUUUAGAUUACUCCUAAUUUCCUUUUCUCUUUAAUCCUAACUCUUAUAGGAAACUUUACUUAAGAAGAUUCUGGAAGCUUGCUCUUCAAGCUUACUCCAACAUUGGUACUAUUGCUAGAUGCCAAGUUCUCAAUGAGCACAACAGCAUCUUCUGGGUACCUGGUGUUGAAGUUCCCAUUGCUUGCAGCAUCAAGAGCCAUCUGAUAUCUCCAAUCAACACCUCUGAAGAAAAUACCCAACAGCUGAACAUCACUGAAACCAUGAUGAGGGCAAUCUCGCUGGUACGACUUGAAUCUCACCCAAGCAGCUUUGAACGCUUCAGUUGGUUCCUGAGAAAAAGUCGAAAUUUUCGUCCUCAACUCCUCAGAUCUAGCAUCAUCGAAGAAGUUGUGCAGGAAAGCAUUCCUGGUCUCUUCCCAAAUAGUGAGUGAUCCUGGCUCCAACUGCUUCAACCAGUUAGCUGCUUCUCCAGCAAGAGAGUAAGGAAACAGCUUGCAGAGGAGGAAAUCAUUGGACACUCCAUUGUAUUUGAUGCUGGUGACCAAGUCCUCAAACCUCUCGAUGUGAUCCAUAGGGUGCUCAUGAGAAAGACCAUGGAAAGGAUGCUGACCCACAAGAGUGUAAUACACAGGCUUGAGCUCAAAAUCAUUCCUCUGAAACGCAGGAGCGCGAAUCGCAGACCGAUUUGCAUAGAAUUGCUCAGGCCUGUUGUAGUCACCCAGCGUCCUGAUGAUGUUACCCUGUCCAUCAAGUCGCUGGCCUCUCUCAUUGCACACAUGACCCUCUUGGUCUCUCCAGACUCCAGCAUCAUCACGAAUCAAUGCCAAUGCGUUCUCCAUCUUUGCUAGUUUCUGAGACAAAGAGAAAGAACAAUGUAAGUAACAAAGCAAAAAUAAAAUAAAGAAAAACAACGGGUGUCGCGCGACACCAAUGCUGGUGUCGCUCGACACUAAGAAAAACUUAGUCGAAACUCAAGAACUAAAGUUUAAUGGCGAAAAUCAAGUCUCGGGCAACGGCGCCAAAACUUGAUCUGCUCAAAGUUUAAUCCUUAGAGCUACUCUGCAAGAGCACAAAUGUGCAAUUGUAGUAUAAUAGGGGUCGAACCACAGAGACGAGAGAUUCGCUCAAUAAACCUAUUAGAAAUUGAAUUACGCUAAGCAGAUUAAUGAGAAGCAAAUAGCAAUGCAAAUAAAGAUAAACGAAUGCAGUAAAAACGUUUGUAAAGUUCAGAUGGGUGGAGAUUAGGCUUAGGGCGUUUCUCAGGAAAUCAAUGCAUGCAGAUCAAUCGAUAAAUCAGGGUUCAGGUUUAAGCACGGUUCUUGAACUCGAAUCACAGAAUUAUAAUUAACCAACUUCCGUUGUGAGAAUUAUCUAAGUUAAAAUCCUAGAAUUCCAAAUUCCUUUGCAAACCCUAAAGAUUUAAACCAGCUUUAAUGCUCAAGUUCGAUAUGUUCACAAAGUAUCUAAACCAAAUUCCUUUGCAAAUAGCUACUUUGCUCACCCUAGGUUCUUUCCAGUUAUUCAAUUACACUUCCGUGUCAAUCAAUUAACCUAAGAUCUAAGUUCUAGGUGGCCAGUCCAGAAUUAGCUUUAAGAACAACUUAUGGUGAAGAACUAAAUAGAUUAUGAACCCUAAUUAAUCAAUCAAUCCAACAUCCAAUGAAAUCCUUUAUGAGAACCCUAAACCUAACAAGCAAACUACUCAGACAUGGAGAUUGAAGCAAUAAACAUGAUUGAAUAGCUUGCAGAAAAGAAAUAAUAGAUAAAUAAACAGGGGUUCGAAAUCUUCUCUCUCCGGAACAGAGUUUCAGACUUGUCUCCCCAAAAGCUCUCAAAAACAAAAGUUCUCUCUCAGAAAAUCUAAGGUAAUCGUAAAAAGGGAAUAAAAACCCUAUAUAUAUAUCUCUAAGACACGUUUUGGGCUUCCUUGGAAACGUUUAGGCCCAACUCUUUCUUCAAAUAGGAAACAAAAUCGCUUUUUCCUUAUUUUUUGACAAGUGUCGCACGUCACUCUCCAUGGUGUCGAGCGUCACUAAAGCACAAAAUCCAUUCUUGACGAAUUUGAUCCUGAUUAAGCUCCAAAGUGCUCCAAAGUCUCCAGUUAAGCUCCAAACGUACCUAUGACCUGAAAAGACCCCAAAAGACUCAAAAGACACUAAAAAGACUCUAUAAAUAAGACAUAUACCAUGGUCAAAAACCAUAAAAACCAUGAUAUAUCAGAUAUAACAUAUAUCAUCUCGUUUUUUUUUUUUUUUUUCUUUUUGUAAAGAAUAUCACUUGAUCUAUGUACCCAAGUAUAUUUAAGAAAUUGGAAAAAUAAGGAUAUUUUAUAAGAAAAUCAUUAAAUUGUAUAAAGAAUAUAAAGUGCUAUUAAAAAUGUGAUUUAAAAAAAAAGAAAAGUACGCAUGAUCCUUCUAUACUUAUAUUCCUAGCUCUUGAGAAAUGAGUUAUUUGAGUUUGGAGACACACGUUCAGGGGACGGUACUCGGCUCUUUGAAAGAGUAUUAAGCUUGAAUGGAUUGCAUGAGCCACAGAACCUUAAGUGUCGGAGGCUUAUCCGCUUAUGUGAAUCAAGUUCAUGUCCACACAAUGAGACGAUACGGUCAAAUAUGUCCUAUGUUCUUGGACCAGUUGCAUACAAUUUAAUUAUCCUCUUGUCAAUAUUAGAUUAGAGAUACAACAGUUUUGUCUUCCAUAGAGAGAGCUUCUUCAUCAUCGACGAAAAGAAGAACAAAAGCCCAUACAUAUCCCAGUUGAAAACGAGAAGAAAAGCCCACACAGAAAAUUAAAGAUACGUGAUUACCUAACUGCAAAAGACAAAGGUAUGUGACCACCUCGGUAACUGCAGAAGACAGUUAAAGGUUGUUGAGUUGAGCCGCCAAAACAGAAUACUUAGAGCAAAAACAGAAGAAGAAGGUAUGUGACCAGCUAGGUAACUGCAGAAGACAAAUAAAGGUUGUUGAGUUGAGCCGCCAAAACAGAAUACUCUCAGUGUAAAAACAGAAGAAGAAGGUACGUACGUGUUCUGUUUCGUAUUAAGAUUAAAAAAAAAAUAGAGCAAUGAGUUCACAAAGGCAUGUGUCAGAGUGUGAUUAGUAGAUUUAGAUCUAAGCUUUAAAAGUGAAAAACAACUAGCAUUUAGCAACAAAAAUAAAAGCAACUAGCUAGUAGAAAACUGAGAGUGGCAAUGGAUGCUGAUAUAUACUUCCUCAUCAACCUCUCAUUUACACUAUUAUUCAUUGAAUAAGAUUAAUAAAAUAUGAUCUUUUAAUUUAAUAGUUUGGAUUUUUUUAAAUAUACGUUGCAUUAAUUAUCAAAAAUUUGUUACUAAUAUAUCUUAAAUGUAAUUUUAUAUAUUAUCUAUGUUUUUUAACAUUUUAAGUGUUUUUUAUAAAUUUAAAUUCGUGUAAUUUUAUGCUAAAUUGUGUUAUUUAAAAAUAUAAUAUUUUGUUAACAUUAUUAAUAUUUGUGAGUGUAUUAAUUUUACUAUUAUAGUUAAUAUAAAUAAAUAUACUAAAUUAAGAUGUAAUCUAAGAUGUAAUUAAUAUAAUUAAAUAUAUUUAAGAUAAUAUUUACUUUAAUAUAUUUUAUAAAAUAAAAACAAAAGAUUUUUUACUUUAAGAUAAUAUUUAGAGACAUUACACUUAAAUGCAUUUUUUAAACACAUAUUACAAUAAAAUACACUUCUAGCUAUUAUGAUAUUUUUUUGUUUUUUUUAAUUUCAUACCAAAAUAAUCCAAAAUUGUCUCAUGUGUUCACGAUAACGUUGGAUGCGAACUAGCAUAGAUUAAACUCAGAUUUUAAAAACAGUAAUUUUUCUCAUCUAUUUUUUGUAUUUUUUAAUAUUGUGAAAGAUAAAUAAAAACAGUUUUUUGUUAUAAUGAAAUAUAAUUUUAUUUUCUCAUAUUUUAAGACACAUUAUACUAUAAUUUAUUUAUUAAAUAAGAAAUUUUUCGAAAAUCAUUUAUAUAAAAUUCAAAAAAAAAAUCACAAGUUUAGUUAGAUAUCCAUUCACAAAAUAAAAUAUGGAUGAUAUAUGAUGGACAUAAAACAUGGACAUGAUGGCAUGAAUUAAUUUUAAUUGAUAUAUUUGACGUGGAUAUAUAUUUUACAUUGUCCACGAUAUAGAUAUAAUUGUGUGGAUAUGUUGUUAUUGAUAUAUUCGACAUGGAUAUACAUUUUACAUUGUCCAUAAUAGGACAUGAUCAUAUGAAUUAUUUUGAUGUUAAAUUUGAAAAAAAAAAAUUAUAAUAAUUAAAAGUGCUUUUUUGUAAGAAUAAGUAGAAAAAUAUAUUUUUGAGUGUAAAUCACUCUAAUAUUUAACUUAAGUUUUCAAUAUUAAUUACACUGAAAUUAAAAUUUGUACAACAUUAAUAAUAUUAUAUAGAUGAGAUAUAUUAGUGGAUACUUUAUCAAAAAAGGCAAAAAUUUAUGAUAGGGUUCUCAAAAAAAACGAAUUCUUAAAAUAUUAGUACUUCCUUCAUUCUGAUUUUAUAUGAUACUUUAUCAUUGUACACAGAUUAAGAAAUCUUUAAUUUAAUUUUUUUCUAUACUAAAACUUUAAUUUUUAUCAUUUUCAAUAUAAUGCAACUAAUUCAAAAAAAUAAUAUGCAAAAUAUAAAAAUCUGUAAAACACCAUUUAGAUAAGAACGGAUGAAAUAUUAUAUUUAUGAGAUAUCCUUAAGAUAUCUUAAUAGAAAUGCUCUUACAAAUAAAAACAAACCAGUGGUCAAAUGUCUUUGGAAAUGUCUCUGUUCUUUGACGACAACAAAAAUUGUCUCUUAACUUUCAGUGUUUUGUUUCAAGAGAAACUAGAUUCUAACCCUGUGCAUCCGCACAAGAAUUUUUUUUAUUUCUGAUAUAAAUUGUAAUUAUUUUUUUGUUUAGAUAUAAUUUGUUUUUGUUAUUUAUUUUUUUUUUAAAUCAAGAAAAUUUUUAGCAUGUUUUAAUUUUAAAUAAUAUAGAUUUGUAUAUCAGUAGAAUAAAUGUAUAAGUUAAUUACGUAUACAUCGACCUAAUGUUAAUUAUAAAAUUUAUUAUUAUGUAAAUUUUUAUUUACAUAUAAACAAUCUAUGUAUAUAUCUAUGAAUUUGCUAAUCUGUCUGUUUAGUUGCCUUAAAAUCAUUUUUUUUAUAAAUAUUUUACAUGUUUUGACAAACUAACCAGAAUAAAACUCUAAUUAUAAAGGGAGAGUUUCACAUUUAACCCAUAUUUCACAGUCAAACAUCAAACUAACCUCUUUUUUUUCUCUCUCCAACUUUUGCCAUUUUCUCACAAUUUUAUCCUUCCCACUUUAACUAUUAACGAAAAUACCAUUAUACAUCUAUUAUUUCGAUUUUUCUUUAAUUUGGCUAAAGUCUCCUUGGACCUUCUAAAGACCUUUUAAUUACGAGAAUGCCAUCUUUUUCAAUUUCUUCAACCACCAUGAACAACCAUGAAAAUAGAAUAAAUGCUUCUCAACCAAUUUUAAAGCUGUAAUAAAACAAAUAUCUGAGCUCAUUCACUCAUAACCUUGCUCAUUCUUUCAUAAUUUCUUCUCCAAAACAUCUGGGCAAAGUUACAAUGCUUCGCGCCAUGCUUUUUUGGUGAUUUCUGGUUACUCGACACCUGGGUUGUUUAAUUUCGGUGAAAUCUUGAGUUCUGGGUGGAUAAGAGAAACUUAGGCGAGCACAAUUUUGUUAAAGGUAAUCCUCGCACUUCAAUUUCUCCACAUUUCAGUUUUUAUAUCGCGAAAGUAGACUUCUCGUGAACUAUACUGAAGUCUACUAGUCAACAUAAGGUUAUUUUUGCAAUUGACUUUUAAAAAGUAGACUUCGUUAAACUUCACGAGAAGUCUACUCGACAUCCUUUGAAAACAAAAAAAAAACUUAGUAGACUUCGUUUGAAGGCUCAAGAAGUCUACUAAAGAAAAGAGGUUAUUUUUGUAGUUUGCCGUAUUUUGACUUUUUGAUUUAGACUUCCGUAUGAAGUCUACUGCUUACGUCUGCAUACAAAGUCUACUUUAAAGUUACUUUUGUAGUUUGACCAAAAACGUAUAGGUCAUUUUUGUGUUUGACUUCUGUUUUUCAAAAAUUAAAAAAUUUAAAAAAUUCCAAAAAACUUCAGUAGACUUCCCAAAGAAGUCUACAAUUUGUAGACUUCUUUGGGAAGUCUACUUAUUUUGUUCGGUCAAACUUAGAAGGAAUCCUUUUUUGAGUAGACUUCUCAAAAAAAUCAAUUGCAAAAAUAACCUAUUUUGUUCCGUAGACUUCUAUUUAAAAAGUAGACUUCAAAUGUAGACUGUCAGAGAAGUCUAUUCUAACAUGAAGUCUACAAUAGAAGUCUAUUCUGUUAGUCAAUGCAUCGGUCCAAUGCUAAAGUAACCUUUUUUUACUGAAGUCUACUCCUGAAGUCUACUGAAGGAAAAGUCAACAGAUUGGUCAAUUGCAAAAAUGACCUUUUUUGUAGAUUUCAUUAGUAGACUUCUCAAUGAAAAAGUAGACUUCUCCUCCAGUCUACAGUUGAAGUCGGCUUACGAAGUCUACUUUUUGAUGUUUUUUAAAAAAUGCGUUUUAAGCAAAUUUAUAAACUAUUUUUCAAAUUUUUUGGUUUAGAAUUGCUUCUUAGUAAGUGAUUGAACUUCCCAUUCAAUUUUAUUUCAUUUCAUUGGAUAUUUAUUGUUGAAUCAGAAAUUUCAAUUUUUUAGGUACUUAGCUUAUCAAAGUAGACUUCUCCUCCAGUCUACAUUCAAAGUCUGCUUUAGAAGUCUGCUUUAGGAGUCUACUUUUAGACGUUUUUUUAAAAACGCGUUUUAAGCAAAUUUAUAAACUAUUUUUCAAAUUUUUUGGUUUAGAAUUGCUUCUUAGUAAGUGAUUGAACUAUCCAGUGAAUUUUAUUUUCAUUUCAUUGGAUAUUUAUUGUUGAAUCAGAAAUUUCGAUUUUUUAGGUACUUAGCUUAUCAAAGUAGACUUCGUCGUGUAGUCUACUCAUGUUCUUUUCCGUAGAAGUCCACUCUUGAUACAAAAAGUCUCUAUGCAGUGUUUGCUAAUAUGGUUUAUAUGGUUUAUAUGGUUAUUUUUUCAGAGAAUGGCUCAAAUUCUAGUUGUGUACGGUGAGUGGAAGAUUGAGGAGAAUUCAUGGCAUUUUGUUGUUGACAUGGGCAAAGGUGGAAGAAUGUGGUUUUUGAACGAUGGUUGCACCUUGGGGGAGCUUACUGAGAUGGCGCGAGAUGAUUAUAACUUGGGCAAGAAGACUGAGCUCAUCGAGUUAACCUGCGCACUACCAAUCUCAAUGUUGCAAACUAUGGCUCCAGAUACACCUCCAAUGCAUGUCACCAAUGAUAGAAAAGUUUCAAGCUUGAUUGCGUUAAGCAGAGUGCAUAUGGUACGUCUUUGUGUGUCCAGUCGAGUGGAGAUGGAUACUGAGGAGAACCAGGAAGGAUCAGAUGAAGAUUUAGGUGAGGAGUCUGAGGAAAAUUCCGAAUAUUCUACCGAUGAUGAGGCAGACAGUUCUGAUGUGAACAAGGAUGGAGAAGAUGUCGACAAUGCAGCUUACUCUGACGGAGAAGAUUACAGUGUCUACAGUAAAGUGAAAGAUGAAGAUGAUGAUGAAAAUGAAGUCUGAAUUACUCUGCAGUUUAUUGUCACAAACAGGCAUGAAUUUACAAAUGACUACACCAAUGCUAUAAUUUAGUAACAUGUUUUAUCAUAGUCUGAAAAUUGUAAACAACUAGUUUUUAAAACAUAAGUAAAUAAUAUCACAUGGUACAUUACACUAGUAAACAUGUUCGAAUUCAAAUGACAUUAGUAUUAAAUGUUCCUAUCUUUGUGUGAUCUUGUUCGCACGUAAUGUUUUCGUAUAGGCGGAGGGUUUUUGGUACUAACCCCUUCAUGCUUCUUGGAUCCAGUGCCCUGCUGCUGGGUUGACUCUACAUUGUCUUUAACCUCUUCCUCAGUGUGCUUCGCCGACCCUGUAGUCAACUCCUCUACCGCACGCUCUACAGAUUCAACCUUCUCGGUGAGAAGUUUGAUCUGCUUUUCACAGCUACCAAGACCAUUCAGCAUCUUGGUUGAAAAGCUUUUGAAGCAUUGGUCGAAGUGCGCUUUCAUAGUAGCGACAACUCCGAUCCCUUCGUCACCAACGAAUGAGGCGGCAGAGGCAGAGGCUGUGCAGGGUCUCUUGCGACUUGAUUCAUCUGAGGGAAGGCUCCUCUUUCCGGCUUCUGCCUUGACGAUGUGUGCACCCAAAACACCUUCCAAAGGCCAAUGGUUUUUUGAGAACUUGAAAUGGGGGUCAUGGAUUGCAUUGACAAUCUUGAAAAUAUCUGGAUCCUGUUCGUCAUCAUCCCACACGGGAAACAUAUCCGCCAAGUCCUUAGCCACGCAGCACUGUAUGCGAGCUUGGAAAAACACAAUAAGUAAAUGAAUUACUAUCCAUAUGAAGCCUCGAAAAACUACGUAUGAAGUCUACUCCUGAAGUCUAACAUAGAAGUCUAUUCCUGAAUGUCUCACACUAUCAAUGGUACAUAUAGAAGUCUACACAUGAAGUCUACUUCUGAAGACUACUUUGAAAAUUCAUUACUACAUAGAAGUCUACUACACUAAUACAGUACCUGUUUUAGCAUGUUGGCUUUGGCGUUCUUUCGUCCUCUUGAUCCUUUGUAAUCCAGCAAAAGAGGUUCAGUAACAUUUGGCAAUGGUUUGCCAAAUCCAGCAGCAAAAUCCGGCAGAGCAUAGUACACCCACACUUGAAGAGCUUGCACAAAUCCUUCUAUAUGAAUGUUUUUGCUGAGAUCUUUCUCCUUAACAGACUUGAUCAAAUGCUGAAAAGCAAUUCUUCCCCAUGGAAACUCCUUAAAACCUUCGAGAUCCAUCACUAGUCUGGCAUGGUUGACAUUUGUGGAUUAGCCAGGUCUUGUUGCCACUAUGAAACCAGCGUAGAUCCCAAGAUAACCCAACCGCAGCCUAUCAUCCCGAGACCAUGAUGAGCAGUUGGAACAGGCUUCAAUAAUUUCGAUAGUGCUUGGACCCGACUCCGCAUCGACCCCCAUUAGCUCCCAAAAUGCACGCAUGUCAUCGGCAAGCGCAAGAUCAGUUAAAGCCAAGUCAUCCACGUACCCGCAGUUGAGUCCGGUGAUCUCCUCAAACUCAUGCAAUGAAAACCAAACUGGAGUGGUACCAAUCAGGCUCCAUAUCUCGUACCUCUGCUUGCAAACUAUCUGAAAGGUCAGCAUGUGGUGCACCAGCCUAGAAGCCCAACCAAAAUCCCAGUCGUGGAACUUUAAAAAGACACCCAACGGUGACUCGUAAAUCUCUUCCCAUUCAUCCUCUUGUAGAGCUGACUUUAGUGCAGGUACCAGCCUAUAAUCAUCAGCAUAAUAGCUCAUGCUUUUAUCUGGGGCUGGCUCAAACCCUUUGGUGUACAGUCUUCUAGGGAAAUCAGAGGCCACCAUUAUCUAACACAGAUUUCUGCAUCAACGGUAACAAAGCUCUAAUGAGAAAAACUAGUAACGAUUUGAAACUAUACACGAAUGAAGUCUACUUUUUCAAAGUGAAGUCUACAUUUUCAAAAUAAAGUCUACUUUUUCAAAAUGAAGUCUACUUUUUCAAAAUGAAGUCUACUUUUGCAAAACGAAGUCUACUUUUUGCAAAAUGAAGUUUACUUUCACAUUCUAAGUACAAUCCGAGUCGAGAAGUCUACUGAAGCCAACCGAAGUAAUCUUAACAUAAAAAAACAGUAUAUUAAGUCAACGGAAUCCACAUGAAACAAUCAAAACAUCAUAAAUACUGCAUAUGCAGUCUACAGAACCCAACCGAAGCAAUCAAUACAUGAUAAAUACUGUAUAUGAUGUCUACUAAAACAAAUCAUCCAAAUGGAAUCUACAAAGUUUAUAGUGUUUACCGCCGUUAUUAGAUGAAGCUGGAGUCGAGAAAAUGCAACCAGAUCUGGGAAAAAAACCUAAGUCAAACCCGACAGACAAAAUUACAGGAAGAUAGAAGAAAUAUAAGAAUUGCUAAGUAUAUAACUUCGGAACAACAUCUACUAACCGUUUUGAGGCAGGAAAUGACGUUAACCUCCAACGGCGAAAGCAGAUCUGCAAAAAAAAAAAAACCCUAAUUUCAAAUCUAGAAACUGGUGGUUACGAAAACGGAAAGGUGAUGAAUAUUGAAUACGGAGGAGUAGGGAAGCAUGGGGGUGUGGUUGGAGGAAGAAAACUUGCCUGAACGAGUUUAUCGGCAGCGGUUCUGUAUGUCGGCGGCGCCGGAGCAGAAAAACAGAAAUCGCCUUCGACUUUUUUUUUUUUUUACACGAACUUUCGACGGUUUUUUUUUUAACAGGAUCUGUAAAAUUCGUAUAUAUAGUCUUGUAAUUCCGUACGGUUCGGAUAAGUUUUUUUCGGUUAGGAUUACUAAUUUUACGGGGUCUAGGUAAAUUUACCCGGUUACAAGCAGUUUUUCUUGGUUAAGGGAAAUUAUUCCCGGUUUAAUUUCGGUUUAAAUUUUGGUUAGGUUAUUUUAUUCGGUUUAGUAGAUAUACAACUUUUAAAACCUAAAUAAUAAAUUUACUUCUACUUAAUUUAAAAACAUAAAUUCAAAAAUCAAUUAGUUCUCUUUUCUCAGCACUCUUUCCUCUUGUUUCUUUCUUCAACCUUUAUUUUACUCUCUAGCAUAAUUUUUUAAAAACAACAAAAGAAAACCAGUAGUUUUCUUUUGAAACAAGCCAGUAGUUUCCACUACAGUUCUCAUACAAAUUCCUUUGAAUUUUCCUCUCCUCUUUACCCGUUUGGCUUAUAUAUAUGAACUAAGAAAGCUUGUUUCCUCAAACCACUGCUAUACUUUCUUCAAACUCUCUUUUGCUCUAUCUCUCUCAUGGCUUCUUCUUCUCCUCCUUCUCCUUGUGCUUAUAUUAAGAGAUACGAUGUCUUUCCAAGCUUCAACGGGCCAGAUGUUCGUAAAGGACUCCUCAGUCAUUUACACGAUCACUUUUUAAGGAAGGAAAUCAAAAUGUACAAGGAUGAUAAGAUGGAGAGAUGCCAACGAUCAAACGUGAACUCGUGAAAGCGAUUAGAGAAUCGAGGGUCUUGAUGGUUUUGCUCUCGAAAAACUACGCUUCUUCGAGCUGGUGUUUGGACGAACUGGUGGAAAUCUUGAAGUGCAGAAAAGAUAAGGAACAGAUUGUGAUGCCUAUUUUCUACGACCUUGAUCCGUUCCAUGUACGCACACAGAGCGGUGACUUCGGAAGCGCGUUCGAGAAAACCUGCGAAAACCAAACAGAGGAAGUGAAGCAGAGAUGGGUCGAAGCUUUGAAAUGUGUAACGACCAUAGCUGGAGAACAUUCUCGUAACUGGUUUGUUUUAACCUGCAUAACUUCUUUCGUGAUUCAACCAUAGCUGGAGUUUCUAUAAUUUAUUAAGAUUUUGUUUUUUUUUUCAGGACUGAUGAUGCUGAGAUGGUCCAAAAGCUUUGCACAGAAGUCUCGAACAAACUGAAAGUGGAAGAGUCUAAGGAAGAAUUUAGGAAGUACGAUGUAGACAAUAAUGGUUUCAUAACUGCAGCAGAGCUUCCACGAUGUGUGUUGAUAAAAGAUGGAGAAGAAUCUACUGAUAAGCAAGUUCGUAGUAUCAUCCGAGUAGUUGAUAUUGAUGGCGAUGGUCAGAUCAACUUUGAUGAAUUUGUCGAACUCAUGGCUCUUAGGUAAGGGAUUCUUGAAAGCCUUAACCUCAAAGAAACAAAAAGAAAAACGAUUUAUGAUGUCUUACAGUGAAAUCUUAUCAUAUGAUUUAGAACGCUUUUGUCUCUCUUAAUCAAUGAUUCAAUAGUGGAGUUUCUAUAGUCUAAUAACAUUCUGUUUUUUUUUUUUUUUUCUUAGGAUGACUGAUAAGAAGCUUUACACGGACCAAGUGAAAGCGGAAAUGAUGAAGGAAGGCUUUAGGGAAUGCGAUGUAGACCAGAAUGGUUACAUAACUGCACCAGAGCUUCGAUAUGUGCUGACAAAAGAUGGGGAGGAAUUUACCGAUAAGCAAGUUCGUAAGAUCAUCCGAAAAGCUGAUGUUAAUGGCGGUGAUCAGCUCAACUGUGAUGAAUUCUUCAAAUUCAUGAAUCUCAUGAUGGAUGCGUAAGGGAUUCUUAAGCCUUAACCUCAUGGAUAAAAAAAAAGGAUUUAUGAAUUAUGAUGUCUUACAGUGAAAAUAUUUUAACGCCUUUUUGUUUCUUAAUCUAAUCUAUAAGAUUCUGUUUUUUUUUUCUUUUGUUAGAAAGAGGAUGACUGAUGAAAGAGCUGCGAGAGUCGAAAAGAUUGCCUCAUAUGUAUCGAACAAACUGGAUAAAUUCGCCAUAUAGAUUCAUGAUAAAAGCCUUCUCCUGAAGAAGAAAAGAAAAACGAUUUAUGAAUGUCUUACAGUGUGAAUUUUCAUCAUGAUAUGAUCCUGGUUGUCUUCUUUAGGACAUGUUUUUUUUACUUCUUUCCACCUUCGAUUUGGUUGCUUUGUUAAUCUCUUUAAUUAGUGUUAUGUCAAGUAUGAACUCAUGUUUUGCUCCUCCUAGUGACAAUUGAUUUUAUCUCUUUUUUUGUGUUUCCUAUUUAGAUAUGAGAGAUUGUAUUGGGA